GAUGAACGCUGGCGGCGUGCCUAAUACAUGCAAGUCGAGCGAACAGAUGAGGAGCUUGCUCCUCUGACGUUAGCGGCGGACGGGUGAGUAACACGUGGAUAACCUACCUAUUAGACUGGGAUGACUUCGGGAAACCGGAUCUAAUACUGGAUAAUAUAUUGAACCGCAUGGUUCAAUAGUGAAAGGCGGCUUUGCUGUUUCUUUUAGACGGUUCCACGUCGCAUUAGCUAGUUGGUAAGGUCACGGCUUACCAAGGCGACGAUGCGUAGCCGACCUGAGAGGAUGAUCGGCCACACUGGAACUGAGACACGGUCCAGACUCCUACGGGAGGCAGCAGUAGGGAAUCUUCGACAAUGGGCGAAAGCCUGACGGAGCAACACCGCGUGAGUGAUGAAGGUCUUCGGAUCGUAAAGCCCUGUUGUUGGGAAAGAAAAACAGUGUAAUUAUCUCCCGACGUCUUGACGGUACCCAAAGAAAAAGCAACGGCUAACUACGUG
RNAcentral lists this ribosomal RNA (497 nucleotides) under uncultured bacterium. RNAcentral's name for it is "partial 16S ribosomal RNA". It matches the Rfam family "Bacterial small subunit ribosomal RNA", at positions 28 to 507 of the family's 1533-position model. The record is from RNAcentral.